Long non-coding RNA from Tachysurus fulvidraco (yellow catfish), 929 nucleotides. RefSeq lists it as uncharacterized. The record is from RefSeq and is a predicted model, not a curated record. Lineage: Eukaryota; Metazoa; Chordata; Actinopteri; Siluriformes; Bagridae. The transcript is spliced from 4 exons.
AUCCCAGUUGUCCUCCAGUACAAGAUAUUAGUGCCUGACUUCAGGUUCACCUGAAACAGCAAGCAGAAAACUGUUUUUACUGUUGUUUGGUGUCUGAUAUGUUAUUAUUGUCCUUUUAAUGCUGCUUUGUGGAUUUUUUUAUGAGCUAUUUGUAUUUAUCAAACCAGCUCAGGGAUAGCAGAUGAUAAGUAACCAUGGGGCUACAUCUGACACAUUUACAUCAUGAAUAUUGAUGCUGAUCAACACAUAUUGUCCUUGUUAGAUGAAUAACUACUAAAACAAUGAAAGCAAGUCUACAUCAAUGAUAUGUAACAGGAGAAAAACAGAAAGCUGACUGACCGUGUGUGUUCCCCAUUCACCGUUAGACGUGAUUUUGAUCCAUUUCUGGUCUGCUGACUGGUCCAUUUCCUGGCACUGAUCAUUCUGAAUCUGGAAGAACAAUCAGAUAGGAUGUACAACACUAUAAAGUACAGUAAUUUCCAGCUUUUCGGGUGUUUUUUAAAGUGUCAGUGUGCAGCCAGCCGGAUGGAUGGAUGGAUGGAAGGAUGGAUGGAUGUGCAAAGGAUGUAAUUUUCAGGUGGACCUGAGAUCAGUUUUCACAUCCACACCUGGCUUCUCACUUUAGCAAACCUUCCAAAAACCUUCUACUUAAAGCGUUAAUCAAACUCACAAAGAAUUCGAAGAAGAUGUUGUUGUCUACAUAUUGGUAGUCGAAGGAGACGGAGCCCUGUUUCAUCAGAUGAACCGCAUACACAAGCGAAACCGUGCAUUCGUCCCGAUUCGACUCUAAGCUCCAUAUAGGUGGCUAAGCUGCUGAAACCAGCAGGAAUGGAGUCCCAUUGGUCAAAACGGACGCCACUACCUAGCGAAUAUGAGCCAGCUGCACAGGCGGUACACUGCUGUGUAGACAUCUCUAAAAACUCUCCCGC